UUCCCGCAGAAUUACAGAAAGGAAGACAGAAGGAAGGAAGGAAGGAAGAAAGAAAAAAAAGAAAGAAAG
This 69-nucleotide non-coding RNA is filed under the name Chromera velia. The record is from RNAcentral. Lineage: Eukaryota; Chromeraceae.